Molecule: ribosomal RNA, 961 nt
Filed under: Isagoras taeniatus
Lineage: Eukaryota; Metazoa; Arthropoda; Insecta; Phasmatodea; Pseudophasmatidae
Description: SSU rRNA
Rfam family: Eukaryotic small subunit ribosomal RNA
Source: RNAcentral
AGCAGCAGGCGCGCAAAUUACCCACUCCCGGCACGGGGAGGUAGUGACGAAAAAUAACGAUACGGGACUCAUCCGAGGCCCCGUAAUCGGAAUGAGAACACUUUAAACCCUUUAACGAGUAUCCAUUGGAGGGCAAGUCUGGUGCCAGCAGCCGCGGUAAUUCCAGCUCCAAUAGCGUAUAUUAAAGUUGUUGCGGUUAAAAAGCUCGUAGUUGGAUCUGUGUCCCACGCUGUCGGUUCACCGUUCGUCGGUGUUUAACUGGCAUGCCCGUGCGGACGUCCUGCCGGUGGAUGCGGUCGGCCGCGGGGCCUCCAGGGGUCCCGCGCGUCGGCGGUCCGAUUCAAUCCUACCGCGGUGCUCUUCACCGAGUGUCGAGGUGGGCCGGCACGUUUACUUUGAACAAAUUAGAGUGCUCAAAGCAGGCAGUGGUUCGCCUGAAUAUUGUGUGCAUGGAAUAAUGGAAUAGGACCUCGGUUCUAUUUUGUUGGUUUUCGGAACUUGAGGUAAUGAUUAAUAGGGACAAACGGAGGCAUCCGUAUUGCGACGUUAGAGGUGAAAUUCUUGGAUCGUCGCAAGACGAACUUAAGCGAAAGCAUUUGCCGAGCGUGUUUUCACUAAUCAAGAACGAAAGUUAGAGGUUCGAAGGCGAUCAGAUACCGCCCUAGUUCUAACCAUAAACGAUGCCAGCCAGCGAUCCGUCGAAGUUCCUCCGAUGACUCGGCGGGCAGCUUCCGGGAAACCAAAGCUUUUGGGUUCCGGGGGAAGUAUGGUUGCAAAGCUGAAACUUAAAGGAAUUGACGGAAGGGCACCACCAGGAGUGGAGCCUGCGGCUUAAUUUGACUCAACACGGGAAACCUCACCAGGCCCGGACACCGGAAGGAUUGACAGAUUGAGAGCUCUUUCUUGAUUCGGUGGGUGGUGGUGCAUGGCCGUUCUUAGUUGGUGGAGCGAUUUGUCUGGU